Transfer RNA from Pneumocystis murina B123, 100 nucleotides. It matches the Rfam family "tRNA". Rfam says of the family: Transfer RNA (tRNA) molecules are approximately 80 nucleotides in length. NCBI's taxonomy places the organism in Eukaryota, Fungi, Ascomycota, Pneumocystomycetes, Pneumocystales, Pneumocystaceae. The record is from Rfam.
GCCCUCAUGGUCUAGUUGGUUAUGACACGGGUCUCAUAAUAUGAAUGUUGGCAGAGCAACAGUUAUCCCGGGGUCGUGAGUUCGAGUCUCACUGAGGGCA